This 21-nucleotide unclassified non-coding RNA is filed under the name Dictyostelium discoideum. The record is from RNAcentral. Lineage: Eukaryota; Evosea; Eumycetozoa; Dictyosteliales; Dictyosteliaceae.
AUAGCUUGAAACCUUUGCUUC